Molecule: long non-coding RNA, 263 nt
Organism: Pogonomyrmex barbatus (red harvester ant)
Lineage: Eukaryota; Metazoa; Arthropoda; Insecta; Hymenoptera; Formicidae
Source: RefSeq, a predicted model, not a curated record
UAGUCCUACUAAAGAGUGCUGCAGAAAAAUCUUGAAUAUGAGAUAGUGGAUAACAGGUACCAUGUGAAAAGGUGCUGCUUAAGUACUGCUCAAUAGUCUGCAAAUACCUUGUUCAACCAUGAACUUAUUAAUUCCUUUUUUGCAAAUCUGAAUUUUUCUGGAGAUAUUCUUCUUGAUAUUAAGAAUUUAGGAGGUUCUUCAGUAAUAUUACUAUGAUCAAAAAGUAAGGUGACUUUUUGAAUAAAACACAAAGUAUUUAUUUA